CAGCAGCCGCGGUAAUGCGUAGGUCCCGAGCGUUGUCCGGAUUUAUUGGGCGUAAAGCGAGCGCAGGCGGUUAGAUAAGUCUGAAGUUAAAGGCUGUGGCUUAACCAUAGUACGCUUUGGAAACUGUUUAACUUGAGUGCAAGAGGGGAGAGUGGAAUUCCAUGUGUAGCGGUGAAAUGCGUAGAUAUAUGGAGGAACACCGGUGGCGAAAGCGGCUCUCUGGCUUGUAACUGACGCUGAGGCUCGAAAGCGUGGGGAGCAAACAGGAUUAGAUACCCACGUAGUCCCUGUCUCUUAUCAA
Molecule: ribosomal RNA, 301 nt
Filed under: uncultured bacterium
Lineage: Bacteria
Description: partial 16S ribosomal RNA
Rfam family: Bacterial small subunit ribosomal RNA
Source: RNAcentral